RNAcentral lists this ribosomal RNA (470 nucleotides) under uncultured bacterium. RNAcentral's name for it is "SSU rRNA". It matches the Rfam family "Bacterial small subunit ribosomal RNA", at positions 26 to 518 of the family's 1533-position model. The record is from RNAcentral.
AGAACGAACGCUGGCGGCAUGCCUAACACAUGCAAGUCGAACGCUCUUGGGGCUUCGGUCUCAGGGGAGUGGCGCACGGGUGAGUAGCGCGUGGGAACCUGCCCUGUUGUGGGGGAUAACCGAGGGAAACUUCGGCUAAUACCGCAUAAGCCGGUUGUCUUGAAGGAGAUGGCCGGGAAAGAUUUAUCGCGACAGGAGGGGCCCGCGUCGGAUUAGCUAGUUGGUGGGGUAACGGCCCACCAAGGCGGUGAUCCGUAGCUGGUCUGAGAGGAUGAUCAGCCACACUGGGACUGAGACACGGCCCAGACUCCUACGGGAGGCAGCAGUGGGGAAUAUUGGACAAUGGGCGCAAGCCUGAUCCAGCAAUGCCGCGUGAGUGAUGAAGGCCUUAGGGUUGUAAAGCUCUUUCGCCCGCGACGAUGAUGACGGUAGCGGGAGAAGAAGCCCGGCUAACUCGUGCCAGCAGCCGC